UACAGAGGGGGCGAGCGUUGUUCGGAAUUACUGGGCGUAAAGGGCGCGUAGGCGGCCAACUAAGUCAGACGUGAAAUCCCUCGGCUCAACCGGGGAACUGCGUCUGAUACUGGAUGGCUUGAAUUCGGGAGAGGGAUGCGGAACUCCAGGUGUAGCGGUGAAAUGCGUAGAUAUCUGGAGGAACACCGGUGGCGAAGGCGGCAUCCUGGACCGAGAUUGACGCUGAUGCGCGAAAGCCAGGGGAGCAAACGGG
RNAcentral lists this ribosomal RNA (253 nucleotides) under uncultured bacterium. RNAcentral describes it as "partial 16S ribosomal RNA". It matches the Rfam family "Bacterial small subunit ribosomal RNA", at positions 524 to 776 of the family's 1533-position model. The record is from RNAcentral.